Molecule: ribosomal RNA, 447 nt
Filed under: uncultured bacterium
Lineage: Bacteria
Description: bacterial SSU rRNA
Rfam family: Bacterial small subunit ribosomal RNA
Source: RNAcentral
UGGGGAAUAUUGCGCAAUGGGCGCAAGCCUGAUCCAGCCAUGCCGCGUGAGUGACGAAGGCCUUAGGGUUGUAAAGCUCUUUUGGCGGGGAAGAUAAUGACGGUACCCGCAGAAUAAGCUCCGGCUAACUUCGUGCCAGCAGCCGCGGUAAUACGAAGGGGGCUAGCGUUGUUCGGAAUUACUGGGCGUAAAGCGCACGUAGGCGGAUUUGUCAGUCAGGGGUGAAAUCCCGAGGCUCAACCUCGGAACUGCCUCCGAUACAGCAAGUCUCGAGUCCGGAAGAGGUGAGUGGAAUUCCUAGUGUAGAGGUGAAAUUCGUAGAUAUUAGGAAGAACACCAGUGGCGAAGGCGGCUCACUGGUCCGGUACUGACGCUGAGGUGCGAAAGCGUGGGGAGCAAACAGGAUUAGAUACCCCAGUAGUCCCUGAGCGGGCUGGCAAGGCGCAU